UCCCAAGUUGAAGGAGGCAAGAAUAAACAAAGUUGAAGAAGACUAGAGUAAUGGAAACUUGAAACUAUAGAUAGUUGGUUGAAGAGAUACAUAAUAAAAUGUUUGCAAUUCUUUCCAGUACAACCAUGAUUGGCACUAACUGUCAGUGACUAGCACUAACAUGACCUCUCUUCUUUGUAUUCAUCUUAAACCUUGUCAUUACUGGGUUUCAGAAGUUAGUUGGUUACCUUUGUGUGAGGAGAAGAGGAAAUGGAAGUAGAAUACCAAAGGUUUCAACACUUUAAAUUGUAAGCAAAACUAUCCAACUUGACUUGCUUCACAAAAAAUUAGAAGAUGGAAGAAAAUAAAAGGGAGAAAGUAGUGUAACCUUUUCAUUGGGCCACCGUUGCGAUAGGUGGUUCCUGCCGCCUUCCUCCACCGCCACGAACCGAAGAAGCUUCGGGUAGAAAAACCACUGCAGCUUCUACCAUGGUGGAAUCGCCAUCGCCGAAGAGAAGAGAUGAUAAAUUUUCUCUAGGGAUUUCAAUCCCUUCAUAUGUUUUGGGGUGGGAAUAACCUAACCCCUCUUAUUUUUUCCCUUCUUUUGCCUUCUUUUACGCGAAAAUCAGGCUUCUUU
This 616-nucleotide long non-coding RNA is filed under the name Lupinus angustifolius (narrow-leaved blue lupine). Its description in RNAcentral is "long non-coding RNA (LANG_LNC001109)". The record is from RNAcentral. Lineage: Eukaryota; Viridiplantae; Streptophyta; Magnoliopsida; Fabales; Fabaceae.